UGACCCUAUCUCCUAUGCUUUACCCUAUUGGCAGGAUGCCAAAGCCCCCUCCCCUUUCCUGAACACAGAAAAGACCCCUGUGCUUGGGAAAAUUCCUCUUUGCCCCCUGGAAGCCAUGAAGAAAUAAACUAAGGAACCCCUGGGAGAAAAGAGCCUCUUUGUAUCUUUCACGCCUGUUCAUGCUACUCUAGUCCCGGGCUGAGCCUCGGAUAGAAUAGCAAUUGGUGGUCGUGGGGCUUUUCAUCAGAGAGCCCACACGAGUGACUGGGAGUCCUAUUACAAGGAAUCAGUAAGUCCAUGGACAGGUCAAUUACCUUGAAGGAAAAAAAACUGCUUUUACAGUAGUUUCAGCUUACAGGGAGGAAAUCGGGACCUCACCUAGCCCAGGGCGCUGAUUUCUGAACGGGGUCCUAAAUCUACAGCCGGUAUCCCCUGGAGAGGAUGUUGCCAGAAGGAAGCGCCUUGACAGCUGGCUCCCGGAAAGGAAAGCCACCAAGACACAGAGAGAAAAUGGACCUCUCCUUGGACUGAAACAGUAAAAGGGAAAAUACAAAUACAACUUGUGAGUGCACAACCCAUUUGACCACAGUCCCCUCACAAUUAUCUUCCCUGACAACACGGGAAGAAGAGAGCACACAGAAAUUAUCUCAGCCCCCAGCCAGUCAUUGUUACCAGCCCUCAUGAGAUUCUCUAGAGUUGAUGUCUCCAGACCAAGGAUAUUGGUCUCUGAAGAAUACUGUAAGAAAA
Catharus ustulatus (Swainson's thrush) is the source of this 747-nucleotide long non-coding RNA. RefSeq lists it as uncharacterized. NCBI's taxonomy places the organism in Eukaryota, Metazoa, Chordata, Aves, Passeriformes, Turdidae. The record is from RefSeq and is a predicted model, not a curated record. The transcript has 2 exons.